CAUGAGAGUGAAACCCUCUUGAAAGCAGCAACUACAAAUACCAUGAGAGCAGUAACUACAAAUACCAUGAGAGCAGUAACUACAAACGUUGCUGCUUUCAAAGAAAAAAUUCUAGAAAAAAAAUCAUGUAAAUUAGGGAGAGAGAAUAUCUACCUCCAAAUUCAUCAAACUAAAGCUAAUACUGAUAAAUGAUGUACCUUUUUCCUCAAAUUCAUGAGUAACAGUCUCUGAUUGCACAAAAAAAAACUAUGUGAGAAAUGAAGAAACAACUAAUUACUACUCAAAUCAGAUUAUAAUAUUCACAAAAAACUGAAAUCAAACACAACUCAGAAGGGGAAAAUUGAAAAAUUCAAAGUUCAGAAAACUUACCAAAUCAAACCCUAAUUUGUGAAACAAUAAAACAUUGGGAGAAAAAAAAAUCAAAAUUAGAAUAUGAAAUCAAAUCAUGAAAUAAGGAAGGGAUUAAGAAGCAAGUUGAAACCUUACUAUUUGAAGAAGCCACUGGAGGGGGAUGUUCUUAAAACCGGUCGGAGGAUUUGAUUGAGAAGAGAACUUAAUUUUGCAAAUAUAAACAGAAAAUUAGACAUCAAUGAGAAAGAAAGUGAUGGCGGCGAACGUGGUGGUGGUGGUGAAGAUAUCGGAGAGAAUGAGAGAGAGCUGAUGAGAGAAGAAUUGAAAUCCAUGAGAAAGAAAGUGAGUUAUGAUAUUGAGGAGAGGGAGAAUUUGAAAUUUGAAAUUGAUUCUAACCUAACAUGUAUCCAGAGUCCAGACUGAGGUUUUUGGAUUCUAGCCUGCUUCCUGCAGUAUGUGAAACCGUGAAAGGGACGGCUCAAAGGAAGGUAUUCUUGCUUCUUUGUUUUUCUGUUUGGCUU
Molecule: long non-coding RNA, 872 nt
Filed under: Trifolium pratense (red clover)
Lineage: Eukaryota; Viridiplantae; Streptophyta; Magnoliopsida; Fabales; Fabaceae
Description: long non-coding RNA (TPRA_LNC004378)
Source: RNAcentral